UGCCAGCAGCCGCGGUAACACGAACCGGACAAACGUUAUUCGGAAUUAUUGGGCUUAAAGGGUGCGUAGGCGGCUUAGUAGGUGGGGUGUGAAAGCCCUCGGCUCAACCGAGGAAUUGCGCCCCAAACCCCUAAGCUAGAGGGAGACAGAGGUAAGCGGAACUGAUGGUGGAGCGGUGAAAUGCGUUGAUAUCAUCAGGAACACCAGUUGCGAAGGCGGCUUACUGGGUCUCUUCUGACGCUGAGGCACGAAAGCUAGGGUAGCGAACGGGAUUAGAUA
This 279-nucleotide ribosomal RNA is filed under the name uncultured bacterium. Its description in RNAcentral is "partial 16S ribosomal RNA". It matches the Rfam family "Bacterial small subunit ribosomal RNA", at positions 506 to 784 of the family's 1533-position model. The record is from RNAcentral.